This is a long non-coding RNA of Phyllostomus discolor (pale spear-nosed bat), 6443 nucleotides long. RefSeq lists it as uncharacterized. The transcript is spliced from 2 exons. NCBI's taxonomy places the organism in Eukaryota, Metazoa, Chordata, Mammalia, Chiroptera, Phyllostomidae. The record is from RefSeq and is a predicted model, not a curated record.
CCCAACACAAAUGACUUUUUAACUUGUUAAAGGCAGAGGCUAUGUUCUGCAGAAUCUUCAGGAGAACAUUUGGACAGUUAAAAAGCAAAAACAACCCCCCCUAGUAUUAAUGCCCUGAAAGUCCAUGUCUAAAAAGAAAGAGGAACCUAGUCAGGGUCCCCAUGGGGGACUCUACCUCCCAUCCACUUCUGUUUCCCCAUGACAUAAACCAUGAACCAGAGUGUGUUCUGCUGAUACAACACCCCAGCCCAUAUCCCUCAUAGAAUAGUAAGUGAGAUACUUUGGAAGAUGCUUAAAGCAUGGACCAAAGUUAAUGGAAACCAUGCAGCUCUUGUACAGUGAGGUCACUAGAAAGUAAACCCCCACAUAGUAUCUUUGUAAGCCACACCUUUAUUGACACAAUUUUUGCUUAUGGCAAGAUAAAGUAUUAUCUUGCCAUAAGCAAUCUGCUUAUUUUAUAUAUAUGUACACACACACAUACAUAUAUAUAUAAUAUAUUAUCUUAUUUAUAGAGUGCUUACUAUACCAGACUGUCUUUUAGGAGCUAAGGAUGCAGAAAUAAACAUGACCCUUCCCUCCAAUCUGUCUUUGUGCAGGACACAUACAUUUUGUUGCUACAGAUAGCAAUAAAUAUGUAAAUAAUAAACAAAUAAUAAAAUGUGCAGGUAUUUACAGGUAGUAACUAAUAGGGUGCAGAGCAGUCAGGGUGGUCAGGGAAUCUCUCUAUGAUGAACUAAUAUUUAAACAGAAAUUUGGAUAAUGUGAAGGAGAUACCACAGGAAGUUCUGGCAGAAGAAGGGCUCAGCCAGGCAGAACAGCAAGGACAAAGACCCUGAGAGGGAAUGCCAGCAUCUUUAGGAAAUAGCAGGAAGGCCAGUGUGGCUGGUUCAGGCUGCACUGAAUAAAGAGAAGAACUAGAACUGUAGCCAGGGUUUGAAUUAUGCCUCAUAAAAUGUAUAAGGAAUUAGGAUUUUAUUCUGAGUACGAAUGGAGAAGAGCAUCUUUUCAGGGAGGCCUUAUCUUGUGGAGGAGCACUUCCAAUGUUUAAACUACAUAAACUAUAUAAAGUCUGAGGAAUAGGCCUUAGCUGUCCCUUCCCAACACAUUACAUAUAAUAUAUACAUAAUAGUGCUUAGGGCUAUAUAAAUUCCUAUUUCAUUUCAGUAUCUAUCUAUCUAUCUACCUAAUCUAUCAUCUCUAUCAUCUAUUUAUCUACCUAUCAUCUAAUCUGCAUUGCAUUUUAUUAUUUAUCUUGCUUGCAUUUCAAGAGCAUCACAUUCACUACACACUAAGAGGGGCACAGUGGAGGUAUGGUGGGGGAGCGAGGAGUGAAGGCCAGUUAGGAGGUGCUUGCACAGUGCAGGGAGAUGAAGGCUGUUUGGGUUAGUGGUUUGGCAGUUGUAUUGAUAAGAUUUUUAGCUUAAGAUACAGGGAAGGAGUAAGGAUAGAGAUGGUAGGAGAGGUCAAAGGAUUGUAUAGAAGGAAAUUGAUUCCAAGGUGCCUGAGACAACAAAAUCUAGGGAGCUGGGCAUAUAAGCCUAGGGGAGAGUUCUGGGCUGGUGAGAUAAAUUUGGUUGUCUAUAUCAUAAGGAUGGUUUUUAAAGACAAGUAAGAUCGCAUAAAGAGUAAGAAUGGUUAGAAACUAUAUCUCAGGACUUGGCCUUAGAACUUCUAGUACUUGGGAGAAAAAGCAGGAUAAUUCAGCAAAGAAAAUUUAGAAAGAGGUACCAAUGAGUUAGGAGAAAACCCAGUGCAGUUUAGUCUCCUGAAAGUCAAGUAUAAAAAUGUUUCAAGAAAGAGAAAGUAUUUUAUGUGAAAACCUGCUGAGAGGUUAAGUAGGGUGGCAUUGUAACAUGAUUUGAGUUGAGAUUUUUCCAUUGGAUUUGGCACUAUUGAGCUUUCUGAUAUGAGGGCAGUUUAAUACAGUGGUGGGGAGACAUAGAGCCUUAAUAAUGCUGUAUGUAUUAGUUUCUUUUGCUGCUGUAACAAAGCAAAAUAACCUUAAUGUCUUAAAACAAGACAAGUCUAUUAACUUACACUUCUGGAGGUCUACAGUCCAAAAUGUGUCUUCUGAGAUAAAAUCAAAGUGUCAGAAGAGCUGCAUUUCUUCUGAUGACUCUAGAGGAGACUUUGUUUCCUUGCCUUUUCCAUCUACAGUCACCUACAUUCCUGAAUCCGUGGCUUCUUCCUCCCAAAUUUGUUGUACCAUUAAAUUCUAAAACGUUCCUUGGCAUUUUCUACUCUAGACCAGGUCCACAUUAGAAAGAGAAAGUACAAUUGCCACCAAUGGCCAGGAAAUGGUAUUGGUAAAGAACUUGUCAUAUGACCCUGCAGGAGGUAGAGAUCCACUAGGUGAGCCAAUGAUAGAUGUAUUAAUGAUGUGCCACUGGAAAGGUCCUUUUUCAGAGCAUUGUUCCAAGGCUCCUGAGCAAGAAUGAAAAUAGGAUCAUUUGUAGCAUACACAGAAUUACUUGGAUAUUUUUUCAGGUUUAAUCACCUCAGUGUUAUUUAUGGACAAUCCUCUUGGUUAAAACACAUUCUAGCCAUCCCUUUAUUCAUUCCAUUCACUUCUUACUCUAAGGUAGGUUAGGCUCCCCAAUGGCAUUCACCUGAGAAAUUCUGAGAAGUUACAUGAAUGCUUAAAACUCAGCAGUGAAAUUAGAAGCUAAACUCAGAUAAGGAAGCAGAAUUAGCUAAGAACAAUAAAGGCAUCUUGCUCCUCAGGAAAUCUUAAGAUAAAUAGAGGAGAUGCUGAUAAUGCAAUGCCAAAGGAUUACCAAUCCACUUAAGGUUUUAUACAACUAGAACCAAGCAUUCAGAGUGCCUGUUUUCUUAAUCUCUUGAGAGCAAAAACCAAAAUGGUGAAAGAAUAUCUUCUUUUUUGGAAAACUCCAAUUCAGGGAACUUUCAACAUGUGCUGUAGAGUAACUAGCUUUUACAAUUCCAUUAUCCAGUGACUCUAUCUGUAGGAAACUUUUUAAAUAGAGUACCAGCAGAAAAUAUAUCCCAAUUUCAAAAUCAAGGUCAAAGGUUUUUACUGAUCAGAAAAUGUGUCUUGUCCUCUAAGAAUUUAGUAGGAAUUUGAAUAGUUGAAAUCAUUUGGUGCCCUUGAGGGUUUGCUAGUGGGUCUCCUCCCCUCCUGUGAUAUAAUUAAUCCUCACUUCCAUGGCAACCAUGUGUAAUACUACCAAUGGGAAGAGUGGCUUUACACUGGAGAAUAACCAGAAUGAAGAAACUCUUUACAGAAGAUCUUAAACCCCUCUGAUGUACUGAGAGAAAAAAACUCGAAUCUUCAUGGAUAGGAAAGAGCUGAUCUCAGAAUAGAAGUGAAAAUGCCCAAGAGCUGCCCAGUGAGUGAGUAGGUGGGAGAGCCUUCACUGUCACAUUUGAUUGGACACCCCCAUUCUGAUCAGAGGGCAGCACAGAAGAGCCACUGGUGUACUUCUAGUUGCUACAUAACCCCACAGGCAGACACUCUGACAGCUUCAGAGUCCUGUCCUUGCCUUGAACAGGGAGCUGCUUACAGGCUUUCAACCAACCCCCACAUCUCUUUCCCUGGUCUCUUUAUCUUCUCUGAUGACAGAGCAGUCUCAUGCUUAAUUGGGAAUUUGAGAUGUCCAAGUCCUCUACCUCUGUCUUACCUCCAGGUCUUUGUGUUACCUACCACCUAGUAGACUAUUUCUAUAGGGCACUAUCUAAUCUUCUUGAUGGUGACACCACUUGCCCAUAGAUCACACACGUGGAUUUCUAACUCUCGGAUACUUUAUGUCUAGUAUUUUGAAUUCUGAGCCCUGCCCUUCAUUUCCCUCUUCCAGUCCAAUGGCCACAUUCAUUUACGCAGAGGUACUUAAUUGUCAACUUCUUCCUAAAUCUCACCAACUCUUCCAACCUACCACCAUCCUUACUUACUAAGCAACUUUGUUCUCUCUCUCUUUCAUGUACUUACUAGAUUCAACCAUUUUCUCUAAAAUUUUACAUUAGAGCAAAACUAAAGCAAAGUGAGAAAAGACAUACAGGUAAGAAAAAGCUCUUUGUCUAGGGAGCUCAUGCAUGCUGAGGUGUGUGAGACAGAAAUGACUGUCAGAGUCUGUGGGAGUGUGAGUAAAAGGUUUGCUCCAAGAGGGGACCCUGCUUCUGUGCUUGGUGCUUUACACUGAAUGCCAAGUAUAUAUGCACAGCCUUUUAACAGUGGGCUGACAUCUAAAAGUGCCCUGUAUGUCACUAAAGAGCAUCACCAUUAACAUAAAAAUUUAUAGGCAUGUUGCUUCAUACUCCAUGUAUACACUCAAAGAAUCAGCCAUCUAAUUGUGGAUAUUUAAAACAGAAUGAAAACCUGAUGCUAAAUACCAGGCCUGCAAUCUGGGGCAAUAUGUUUUCAACCAUUGCUUGAAAAUGCUGUUUUUGCUGUUGUCUUAAGAACAUAUGAUUAUAACAGACAAUAAUGUGCCAAUAUUUCCCUUUCUUAUCCAUUUCAUGCUUGACAAUAAAUAUUCUUUGUAGUAUGAUUGGCAGAGAUACUAAAAUACCUAACCUAUCAAAUAGUAUUUAAUAAAAGUCUUUUGUCUACAGUCAGCUCAGGGAGUUUAGUUUAAGGAUUAUAUGUAGGAACAGUUUAAUUAAUAUGCAUACUUUAACUGACAUAUUUUAAAAUACUUGGCUAACCUAAUAACGUCAGAGUUAAUAGCACAAAAAUAUCAUGUGGAUCACAGAAAUUGUAAGCCUCAUGAAAAAGGUGCUAAAGAAGUACUUGUUGAAUAUUUGACAAAUGGAAUACUGAGUUGCAUGUGCAAUGGAAGUGACAUUUAACCUUGGUGACUUUUUUUUGAGGUGAUGACUCUUAGAGCAUGGUGCAGAUAAUGCAAGACAUCUCCAGGUACAGGUCAUUGAGAAAUGAACCAUCUUCUAAUCAUAUUCUACUUUCACAAAUGUCCUUUCACAUGUGUUAAGGUGUUGGGGGGCUACAAAACUGAAAGGGGUAAAUUAUUAGGAAAACAGGUGCUGGAGCUUGAUUUUAAAAAGUCAGAUUCAGGUGAAUGGAAGCAAAAUUUCUUAGCUUUGUCUAAGUUGCAGAAAUGAUAAUCUCAGGUGUUUUCUACAAGUUAAUUUUUAAUUUCAUGAAAAGAAUUCAUUUCAGUACCAGAAAAAACCCAAUUCUGGCCUCAUUCCUGCCAUUAUCUUGCUAUGUGGUUUUGGAAAAGUUAAUAGAACUCUCUGUGUACUGGGUUCCUUAAAAUGGGUGUGUCAGUUUUUAAUUCUCAGAAUGUUAUUAGGAGCAAAUAAAAUAAUAUAUAUGCAACAUAUAGUGCUUUCAGUGAUACAUAAUGACCUGUGCCAAAUUGCUCUCAACUUGAAAUCACUAUCACCCCUUCUUCAGUCUCCUCUAUGUAGUGCAAAGGAACCACACAUGGCUCCCAGAAUCUCUUUCUGCAUGUGGUUCCAGAUGAUAGUCAGCCAAUGAGAGGCAUUCUCAUGAGAUAUGGCUGGAACAGAAGAAUCCAUUCUUCUCUAGUGGCAGGUGAGAAUAGUUUUAUAGGAAGACCCAGACACAAGGUCAGCAGCAGCUGCCGCCAAACACCUAGGCAUCGUUUUGUACUACAAGUUGCUAAGAUCAAUGGUGGCAGCUCCCAGACACUUGAGGUUUGCCACAGCUUCUUUGCCAGCUCCCUGCAAUCACCUCCUUCCAGCAGAAGUUUCCUGACUUUUACUGCCCUACCCUUUCCAGCAGGUAGCUGCCUAAGCUCUAAAAUCUUCCUCCUCAGAAUGUCUUAACGGACUUCUGUGUUCCUGAUGCACUGGUGAGUGAUACAUAACCAUAAAUUUCCUGCUCCUUCCAAAUCAUGCCCAUGAACCUUAAAAAAGGGAGAAAAAUUCUGAGUGACUUUGCUUCAGGCUAUAAAGUGGACAAGUAGCCUGAAACAAACACACAACCAUCACAAGGCACCUACUAUGUUGCUGUAAGAUAUUUCUGGAACUAUUUUUAAAUAUUUGACUUAUUGAUAAGAAAGUAAUGGAAAUUCCCUCAAACUAAAAGAAAACAGAAGAGUAUCUGACAAAGAGAGUGAGGUAUAGGCAAUAUUUAAGAAGACAAUCACUGAUUGUUUCCUGGAAUUUAUAAAAAAUUAAUCCUCUGAUUCAAAAGGUGCCCCCCAAAAUGCCACCCAGGACAAAGGGCAGACAUGUAGCCACUUGUAUGACACUACAUACAUUUAUUCAAAGACAAUAUCCAAGAAGCCGCCAAUCUGGGAUCCAGGCUUCAGAACUGCCUCCUCUAUAAGAAGAUGAGUUUCCCAAAAAGAAGUUACUGUUAGACUGAUAGCUGAUUUUUCAAUAGCAACAAAGAAGCCAGGAGAUGAUUGAAUAACAGCUUCAAAGUAUUAAAGAAAAAAACUGCCAACCUAUUUACUCCCUGAAAGUAUAUGAACAUAUUUUCAGACACACAAAAA